UACAGAGGGUGCAAGCGUUAAUCGGAAUUACUGGGCGUAAAGGGUGCGUAGGUGGCUAAGUAAGUUGGAUGUGAAAUCCCUGGGCUUAACCUAGGAACUGCAUUCAAAACUGCUUAGCUAGAGUAGGGUAGAGGGAAGCGGAAUUUCCGGUGUAGCGGUGAAAUGCGUAGAUAUCGGAAGGAACACCAGUGGCGAAGGCGGCUUCCUGGACUCAUACUGACACUGAAGCACGAAAGCGUGGGGAGCAAAC
Molecule: ribosomal RNA, 250 nt
Filed under: uncultured bacterium
Lineage: Bacteria
Description: partial 16S ribosomal RNA
Rfam family: Bacterial small subunit ribosomal RNA
Source: RNAcentral